RNAcentral lists this transfer RNA (73 nucleotides) under Paramuricea clavata. It matches the Rfam family "tRNA". From Rfam's summary of the family: Transfer RNA (tRNA) molecules are approximately 80 nucleotides in length. Their secondary structure includes four short double-helical elements and three loops (D, anti-codon, and T loops). The record is from Rfam by way of RNAcentral. Lineage: Eukaryota; Metazoa; Cnidaria; Anthozoa; Malacalcyonacea; Plexauridae.
GCCUCUGUAGCUCAGGUGGUUAGAGCGCUGCACCGGAAUCGCAGGGCCGUAGGUUCAAUUCCUACCAGAGGAC